Molecule: ribosomal RNA, 1809 nt
Filed under: Molgula citrina
Lineage: Eukaryota; Metazoa; Chordata; Ascidiacea; Stolidobranchia; Molgulidae
Description: SSU rRNA
Rfam family: Eukaryotic small subunit ribosomal RNA
Source: RNAcentral
CUGGUUGAUCCUGCCAGUAGUGAUAUGCUUGUCUCAAAGAUUAAGCCAUGCAGGUCUAAGUACAAAUGGUAUAAAGUGAAACUGCAAACGGCUCAUUAAAUCAGUCUUGGUUUACUUGAUCGUACGUGUUGGUGGAUAACUGUGGUAAUUCUAGAGCUAAUACAUGCAUUUAAGCGUCGACUUCGGUAGGCGCGCACUUAUCAGACCAAAACCGGCCGGGCGUUCACGCGUCCGAAACGUUUGGUGACUCUGGAUAAUUCCGCUGAUCGUAUGGUCUUGUACCGACGACGGAUCAUUCAAGUGUCUGCCCUAUCAACUUUCGAAUGUAUGGUAUCUGCCUACGUUUGUGAUAACGGGUGACGGGGAAUCAGGGUUCGGUUCCGGAGAGGGAGCCUGAGAAACGGCUACCACAUCCAAGGAAGGCAGCAGGCGCGCAAAUUACCCACUUUUAACGCGAAGAGGUAGUGACAAAAAAUAACAAUAUAGGACUCUAACGAGGCCCUGUAAUUGGAAUGAGUACAAUCUAAACUCUUUAACGAGUAUCCAUUGGAGGGCAAGUCUGGUGCCAGCAGCCGCGGUAAUUCCAGCUCCAAUAGUGUAUGCUAAAGUUGUUGCGGUUGAAAAGCUCGUAGUUGGAUCUAGUGUGCCGGGCGCCGGUCCGCCGCAAGGCGUGCACUGGCGUUCGACCUCUCUUUGUCGGUUCUCGGUCGGUGCUCUUGACUGAGUGUCUGCCGUGGCCGGCGGUUUUACUUUGAAAAAAUUAGAGUGUUUAAAGCAGGCUAGUCGCCUGUAUAUUCGUGCAUGGAAUAAUGGAAUAGGACCUCGAGUCUGUUUUUGUUGGGUUUAUGACUCGAGGUAAUGAUUAAGAGGGACAGACGGGGGCAUCCGUACUCUGCCGUUAGAGGUGAAAUUCUUGGAUCGGCGGAAGACGAACUAUUGCGAAAGCAUUUGCCAAGAAUGUUUUCUUUAAUCAAGAGCGAAAGUCAGAGGUUCGAAGACGAUCAGAUACCGUCCUAGUUCUGACCAUAAACGAUGCCAACUAGCGAUCCGCCGACGUUACCAUGACGACUCGGCGGGGAGCUCCCGGGAAACCAAAGUCUUUGGGUUCCGGGGGAAGUAUGGUUGCAAAGCUGAAACUUAAAGGAAUUGACGGAAGGGCACCACCAGGAGUGGAGCCUGCGGCUUAAUUUGACUCAACACGGGGAAACUCACCCGGCCCGGACACAGGUAGGAUUGACAGAUUGAGGGCUCUUUCUUGAUUCUGUGGGUGGUGGUGCAUGGCCGUUCUUAGUUGGUGGAGCGAUUUGUCUGGUUAAUUCCGAUAACGAACGAGACUCUAUUCUGCUAAAUAGUUACGCGACCCUGUCGGUCGGCGUUGUUAAACUUCUUAGAGAGACUAGUGGCGUUUAGCCACACGAGAUUGAGCAAUAACAGGUCUGUGAUGCCCUUAGAUGUCCGGGGCUGCACGCGCGCUACAAUGAAUAAAGCAGCGUGUCUGUUACCUUGGCCGAAAGGUCUGGGAAACCCCGAAAAUUUAUUCGUGCUAGGGAUAGAGAUCUGGAAUCCUCUCUUGAACGAGGAAUUCCCAGUAAAUGCGAAUCAUCAGUUCGCGUUGAUUACGUCCCUGCCCUUUGUACACACCGCCCGUCGCUACUACCGAUUGAAUGGUUUAGUGAGGUCCUCGGAUUGACCCCUCUGUGGUCGGCAACGGUCGCGGAGGCGCGUCGAAAAGAUAAUCGAACUUGAUCAUUUAGAGGAAGUAAAAGUCGUAACAAGGUUUCCGUAGGUGAACCUGCAGAUGGAUCAUUA